RNAcentral lists this ribosomal RNA (696 nucleotides) under uncultured bacterium. RNAcentral's name for it is "bacterial SSU rRNA". It matches the Rfam family "Bacterial small subunit ribosomal RNA", at positions 111 to 823 of the family's 1533-position model. The record is from RNAcentral.
UAACGCGUGAGUAACCUGCCUUUCAGAGGGGGAUAACGUUCUGAAAAGAACGCUAAUACCGCAUAAGAUUGUAGCUUCGCAUGGAGCAGCAAUCAAAGGAGCAAUCCGCUGAAAGAUGGACUCGCGUCCGAUUAGAUAGUUGGCGGGGUAACGGCCCACCAAGUCGACGAUCGGUAGCCGGACUGAGAGGUUGAUCGGCCACAUUGGGACUGAGACACGGCCCAGACUCCUACGGGAGGCAGCAGUGAGGGAUAUUGGGCAAUGGGGGAAACCCUGACCCAGCAACGCCGCGUGAGGGAUGACGGUUUUCGGAUUGUAAACCUCUGUCCUCUGUGAAGAUAGUGACGGUAGCAGAGGAGGAAGCUCCGGCUAACUACGUGCCAGCAGCCGCGGUAAUACGUAGGGAGCAAGCGUUGUCCGGAUUUACUGGGUGUAAAGGGUGCGUAGGCGGAUUGGCAAGUCAGAAGUGAAAUCCAUGGGCUUAACCCAUGAACUGCUUUUGAAACUGUUAGUCUUGAGUGAAGUAGAGGUAGGCGGAAUUCCCGGUGUAGCGGUGAAAUGCGUAGAGAUCGGGAGGAACACCAGUGGCGAAGGCGGCCUACUGGGCUUUAACUGACGCUGAGGCACGAAAGUGUGGGUAGCAAACAGGAUUAGAUACCCUGGUAGUCCACACUGUAAACGAUGAUUACUAGGUGU